CACACCGCCCGUCACACCAUGGGAGUUUGUUGCACCAGAAGCAGGUAGCUUAACCCUCGGGAGGGCGCUUGCCACGGUGUGGCCGAUGACUGGGGUG
RNAcentral lists this ribosomal RNA (97 nucleotides) under uncultured bacterium. RNAcentral's name for it is "partial 16S ribosomal RNA". It matches the Rfam family "Bacterial small subunit ribosomal RNA", at positions 1386 to 1482 of the family's 1533-position model. The record is from RNAcentral.